This 814-nucleotide long non-coding RNA is filed under the name Pan troglodytes (chimpanzee). RNAcentral describes it as "long non-coding RNA NONPTRT011092". Lineage: Eukaryota; Metazoa; Chordata; Mammalia; Primates; Hominidae. The record is from RNAcentral.
UGAAAAUUCAAGGUGGACUUGCAUGUUGUGCAUAAAAUUUAGUAGCUUUUAAGCUUGAUUUAUAACACCGAAAUAUCUUGACCUAUCUAUUGCUUCAGGGCCUGCAAAUUUUACGGGAGGGCCUAGGAAGGAGAAAGAGUGAUUCCUAAGUGGGUCCAGGCAGCAUACCUGCAAACGGUGAUGUCAUAAAGUAGUCCUGCUGAGUUGUAGGUAACUACCACAUGAAUUAUAAAGACAACAAAGGAUGUCAGAAUGAACAUGGAUAGGUGUAUGCAUACUACGGCUAAGGAGAAACAAUGUUCCUACAUAUUAUGGGCAGUGAGAACAUUAUCUGUAUAACAGGGAACUGUGAUUAUUUAAAAAUAUGCAGAACUUAUUUCAUCUGUGCUUUAGAAAUAACUGUAUACAGUGUUAUAAGUUGAAAAGAACUCAAAAUAACUAAUACCAAAUAUACACCUAUGUAUUAGAAUUCAAAAAAGCUGCUUUCUGUGAAGUCAAUCAGCUAUAUUAAAAAAUGACACAAAUCCAAAACAAGAUGCAUGUUAUAUAUAAAGGGACAUUGUAAGUUUCCUUGCUGCAUUAAACCCAUGGUUUAAUCCAUGAAAUUUCCUUUUAAUUAUCAUUUAGACAGAAGCAUGCAAAUAGUCUCAGGAUCUACUUAAGAACCUUUCCCAAAUCCACUAGUUACACUCCCCUUUUCAGGAACUAAGCAGGUAUUCGGGUAGCUGCUUCCUCCUCUGCAUCAGCUCGGUUUGCAUUAAUCUCUGCAAGUGUUCGGCCAAACCGUGCCCAUUCAUCAUUGCGGGGAACAGCA